RNAcentral lists this ribosomal RNA (237 nucleotides) under Triticum aestivum (bread wheat). RNAcentral describes it as "partial small subunit ribosomal RNA". The record is from RNAcentral. Lineage: Eukaryota; Viridiplantae; Streptophyta; Magnoliopsida; Poales; Poaceae.
AUGCUGCUCACUGUCGUUUUGGUCGUUUUUCUGCUUUUUGUUGUUACGUAAAAGGGAGGUGAAAAGUCAGUGCUAAAUGCAUGGCAAUCCAUGAUCGAGCUUAUUUAUGAUUUCGUGCUGAACCUGAUAGACAAACAAAUAGGCGGUCUUUCCGGAAAUGUGAAACAAAAAAAUUUUCCUCGCAUCUUGGUCACCUUUACUUUUUCAUUAUUUUUUCCCAAAAAACUAAUAAAAUAG